GGGGAUUUAGCUCAGCAGCAUAAGCGCCUGCCUUGCAAGCAGGGGAUCGUGAGUUCGAUCUCCGGUACCCA
Molecule: transfer RNA, 71 nt
Filed under: Cavia porcellus (domestic guinea pig)
Lineage: Eukaryota; Metazoa; Chordata; Mammalia; Rodentia; Caviidae
Rfam family: tRNA
About the family: Transfer RNA (tRNA) molecules are approximately 80 nucleotides in length. Their secondary structure includes four short double-helical elements and three loops (D, anti-codon, and T loops). Further hydrogen bonds mediate the characteristic L-shaped molecular structure. tRNAs have two regions of fundamental functional importance: the anti-codon, which is responsible for specific mRNA codon recognition, and the 3' end, to which the tRNAs corresponding amino acid is attached (by aminoacyl-tRNA synthetases). tRNAs cope with the degeneracy of the genetic code in two manners: having more than one tRNA (with a specific anti-codon) for a particular amino acid; and 'wobble' base-pairing, i.e. permitting non-standard base-pairing at the 3rd anti-codon position.
Source: Rfam by way of RNAcentral